This 495-nucleotide ribosomal RNA is filed under the name uncultured bacterium. RNAcentral describes it as "partial 16S ribosomal RNA". It matches the Rfam family "Bacterial small subunit ribosomal RNA", at positions 28 to 505 of the family's 1533-position model. The record is from RNAcentral.
GAUGAACGCUGGCGGCGUGCCUAAUACAUGCAAGUCGAGCGAACAGAUGAGGAGCUUGCUCCUCUGACGUUAGCGGCGGACGGGUGAGUAACACGUGGAUAACCUACCUAUAAGACUGGGAUAACUUCGGGAAACCGGAGCUAAUACCGGAUAAUAUAUUGAACCGCAUGGUUCAAUAGUGAAAGACGGUUUUGCUGUCACUUAUAGAUGGAUCCGCGCCGCAUUAGCUAGUUGGUAAGGUAACGGCUUACCAAGGCAACGAUGCGUAGCCGACCUGAGAGGGUGAUCGGCCACACUGGAACUGAGACACGGUCCAGACUCCUACGGGAGGCAGCAGUAGGGAAUCUUCCGCAAUGGGCGAAAGCUUGACGGAGCAACGCCGCGUGAGUGAUGAAGUUCUUCGGAUCGUAAAACUCUGUUAUUAGGGAAGAACAAAUGUGUAAGUAACUAUGCACGUCUUGACGGUACCUAAUCAGAAAGCCACGGCUAACUACG